AAGGAUUCCCCUAGUAACUGCGAGUGAAGAGGGAAAAGCUCAAAUUUAAAAUCUGGCUGUUCUUGCAGCAGUCCGAGUUGUAGUUUAGAGAAGUGUUAUCCGCGCUGGCCUGUGCAAAAGUUUCUUGGAAAAGAACAUCGUAGAGGGUGACAAUCCCGUCUUUGGCACAGAUAACUGGGGCUUUUGUGAUGCRCUCUCGACGAGUCGUGUUGUUUGGGAAUGCAGCACUAAAUGGGUGGUAAAUUCCAUCUAAAGCUAAAUAUUGGCGAGAGACCGAUAGCGAACAAGUACCGUGAGGGAAAGAUGAAAAGAACUUUGAAAAGAGAGUUAAACAGUACGUGAAAUUGUUGAAAGGGAAACGCUUGAAGUCAGUCAUGUCUUCCAGGGAUCAAGUUACCCUUUGGGGUUACUGCACUUUCUGGUUGAUGGGUCAGCAUCAAUUUUGACUGUUGGACAAAGGCCUAGGGAAUGUGGCAUCUUCGGAUGUGUUAUAGACUUAGGUUGGAUACAAUGGUUGGGAUUGAGGAACUCAGUGUGCCUUCAUGGUUGGGGCUUUUUAUGCUCACACUGCACACUUAGGAUGCUGGCAUAAUGGCUUUAAUCGACCCGUCUUGAAACACGGACCAAGGAGUCUAACAUGCCUGCGAGUGUUUGGGUGGAAAACCCAAGCGCGUAAUGAAAGUGAAAGUUGAGAUCUCUGUCAGGGAGAGCAUUGACGCCCGGACCAGACCUUUUGUGACGGAUCUGCGGUAGAGCAUGUAUGUUGGGACCCGAAAGAUGGUGAACUAUGCCUGAAUAGGGUGAAGCCAGAGGAAACUCUGGUGGAAGCUCGUAGCGAUUCUGACGUGCAAAUCGAUCGUCAAAUUUGGGUAUAGGGGCGAAAGACUAAUCGAACCAUCUAGUAGCUGGUUCCCGCCGAAGUUUCCCUCAGGAA
Molecule: ribosomal RNA, 934 nt
Filed under: Ramariopsis junquillea
Lineage: Eukaryota; Fungi; Basidiomycota; Agaricomycetes; Agaricales; Clavariaceae
Description: eukaryotic LSU rRNA
Rfam family: Eukaryotic large subunit ribosomal RNA
Source: RNAcentral